UGUCCUGUUUGAUAUCUUUACUGAUGGGCUGGAUGUGGGGGCAUCAAGUGCACCCUGAGUAAAUUGGGGGCACCCUGAGUAAAUUUGGAGGUGAUGCUGAAUUGGAGGUGAUGCUGAAUUGGCUGGAAGUGUUGGAUCUGGAUGGGGAGGAGCUGGGAUCAGAGAGUGGUGGUGAAUGGAGUGAAAUCCAGCUGGUGGGGAUGCUGGGUCCUGUCCUGUUUGAUAUCUGUAUGGAUGGGCUGGAUGUGGGCACCCUGAGUAAAUUUGGAGGUGAUGCUGAAUUGGCUGGAAGUGUUGGAUCUGGAUGGGGAAGGAGCUGGGCUCAGAGAGUGGUGGUGAAUGGAGUUAAUGGAGUUAAAUCCAGCUGGUGGGGAUGCUGGGUCCUGUCCUGUUUGAUAUCUGUAUGGAUGAGCUGGAUGUGGGGGCACCUGAGUAACUUUGGAGGUGAUGGCAAAUUGGCUGAAAGUGUUGGAUCUGGCUGGGGAAGGAGCUGGGAUCAGAAAGGGGUGGUGAGUGGAGUUGAAGCCAGCUGAUGGGGAUGCUGGCACCUGUCCUGUUUGAUAUCUUUAUGGAUGGGCUGGAUGUGGGGGCACUGAGUAAAUUUGGAGGUGACACCGAAGGGUUGGAUCUGCCAUAUGGGAUCUGGAGAGCUGGGCUGAAGCCAAUGGGAUGAGGUUCACCCAGAACAAAUGCUGGGUCCUGCGUUCUGGCUGCAACCAGACCCCAGGUGAUGCUGGGUGGCUGGAGGGACCCACAGGGGUGCGUGGGGGACCCAUAGGGAUGCAUGGGGACCCAUAGAAUACGUGGGGAACCCACAGGGAUACAUAGGGGACCCACAGGGAUGCAUGGGGAACCCACAGGGAUGCAUGGGGGACCAUAGGGAUGCGUGGGGACCCACAGGGAUACACGAGGGACCACAGGGAUGCAUGGGGACCCCCCCCAAGGAUGCAUGGGGACCCACAGGGAUACGUGGGGGACUAUAGGGAUACAUAGGGAACCUAUAGGGAUACAUGGGGACCCAUAGAAUACGUGGGGAACCCCUAGGGAUGCAUGGGGGACCGUAGGGAUGCAUGGGGACCCACAGGGAUGCAUGGGGGAUCUAUAGGGAUACAUGGGGGACCAGAGGGAUACAGGGGGACACAUAGGGAUACAUGGGGGACUCAUGGGGGACCCCCCAAGGAUGCAUGGGGGACCCACAGGGAUGCAUGGGGACCUAUAGGGAUACAUGGGAGACCAUGGGGACCCCAUAGGGAAACAUGGGGAACCCAUAGGGACCCAUAGGGAUACAUGGGGGACCCAUAGAGAUACAUAGGGAACCUAUAGGGAUACAUGGGGGACCCAGAGGGGACCCACAGGGAUACAUGGGGGACCAUGGGGGACCAUAGGGAUGCAUGGGGGACCUAUAGGGAUACAUAGGGAACCUACAGGGAUACAUGGGGGACCCAGAGGGGACCCAUAGGGAUACAUGGGGGACCAUAGGGAUGCAUUGGGGACCCACAGGGAUACGCAGGGACCCACAGGGAUACAUGGGGG
Molecule: long non-coding RNA, 1533 nt
Filed under: Phasianus colchicus (ring-necked pheasant)
Lineage: Eukaryota; Metazoa; Chordata; Aves; Galliformes; Phasianidae
Description: lncRNA (ENSPCLG00000013857.1)
Source: RNAcentral